Long non-coding RNA from Cucurbita maxima (winter squash), 1391 nucleotides. RefSeq lists it as uncharacterized. The transcript is spliced from 3 exons. The record is from RefSeq and is a predicted model, not a curated record. NCBI's taxonomy places the organism in Eukaryota, Viridiplantae, Streptophyta, Magnoliopsida, Cucurbitales, Cucurbitaceae.
UCCUCUCCAAUCGACUCAUUCCCCAAUUGCUUGAAACGUGGUGGGCAUCCCAUAUGUCAAAGAUAAAUCCUACAUCUACAUGCAGGGUCUUACAGCAAGAACAAUCUGAGCCAGUUAGCUCAUUUUACUUUGUAAUGUUCUUUGGUCGGGCUUAAAAUUAUAAGAUCUUGUUUGAAUCUUCCAUGCUGCUAGGCUUCGGGCCAUUGGGAUGUAGGUUUGGCCUGUGGUGGUUCCUCUUCAACGCAGCUAUUACAGGUAGCCAUCGAUCAUCUACUUCUAUUAUGCAUGUAGACUUUAAUAGCGAAUUAUUUAGGUGCUCUUCUACAUUUUGCUGUCGUUUUCUUCUGCCAGUUAGCAGGAAGUUCAAGUCACUUUCACAGUUUAAUCAUCUUUUCAUUCAGAAUUUAGAAUUUGAAAUGAUGAUUAACUUGUUUGGUAAAAUUCUUGCCUUUGCAUCACUCUACCUUCAUUUCUUUAAACAUGUCUCUAAAAGACAUUGAUAAGUUGCCUAUGGAUUAUGAUAGCUGAGAGUAAAUUGUUCAUGUGGAGAAAUGCUAUGAAUUCUCGAUUGGAGAGGAGAAUGAAACAUUCUUUAUAAGGGUAUAGAAACAUCUCCCUAACAGAUCCAUCUUAAAACCGUGAGGCCGAUGACAAUACGUAUGAGCCAAAAUAGACAAUAUCUGCUAGCGGAGGGUUUGGGCUGUUACAAAUGAUAUCAAAGGCAGACACUGAGUGGUGUGUCAAUGAGGACACUGAAUCCCCAAGGGGGUGAUCUCACAUCAGUUAGAGAGGAGAACGAAACAUUCCUUAUAAGGGUGUGAAAACCUCUCCCUAACAGACGUGUUUUAGAACUAUAAAGUUGAUGGCGAUAUGUUCUUCACUUUCACUCACUUAGGAGUCCAACUCAAAUCUUCCUAACAUGAGAGAGAUCCUCGAGAAAAUGCAUAAAUCCUCGAGAAUCAUGCCACCAACCAAAUCUUUCACCUGACCAAAGUAGAAAAAUACUCAAAUUCUCAUUGAACAAUGUGCAUUCUACAUUAUUGCCAUCAUUUUACGUUUUACAUUUGAAGUUAAAACAUGAUACAUUUCUAUUCAUGGAGGUUUCUUUGGAAUGUCUUCUCAUAAUUUGACUCUUUCAAUUAUUUGAUGAAGAUUGCAGUGUUUAGUUUUGUAGGCUUCCCCAACAUGUGGUUCCAUGGCUAGAGGCACACCAAGGGGGCAUCAUGGGGGUAAGCUUUCGAGGCAGACAGAGCGUAGGCGGAAGGGAAAGGGAAAGAGGCAACGGUACAAAAGAGCGGACAGGUAUUGGUGGUGGCGACGGCAGCGUCGGUUGGGUAAUCUCAUCCACUAAGGUAGGCUCGAACAUCUGACUUUAUUGGUAGAACUCCAAC